AGUCUAUUCAGAGGAACCUGUCCUGUAAUUGAUAAUCCACGAUGUACCUUACUUAAAUUUGCUUUUCAGUUUAUAUACCGUCGUUAUCAGAAUAUUUUAUUAGAAUAAUAAUUUUCUAUAAUUUUUAUGAGAAUUUAUAUCAGAUCAAGGUGUAGCUUAUAUUUAAGAAGAGAUGGGUUACAAUAAAUUUAUUUAAAUGGAUCUGAUUUUGAAAUGUUUAGUGAAGGUGGAUUUGACAGUAAAAUUUUAAAGAUUGUUAAUUUGAUUUUAGCUCUAAAAUAUGCACACAUCGCCCGUCGCUCUUGCUAUUAAGGUAAGAUAAGUCGUAACAUAGUAGAUGUACCGGAAGGUGUAUCUAGAAUGA
Molecule: ribosomal RNA, 364 nt
Filed under: Bactrocera calophylli
Lineage: Eukaryota; Metazoa; Arthropoda; Insecta; Diptera; Tephritidae
Description: partial 12S rRNA
Rfam family: Microsporidia small subunit ribosomal RNA
Source: RNAcentral